Molecule: long non-coding RNA, 1059 nt
Organism: Anopheles darlingi
Lineage: Eukaryota; Metazoa; Arthropoda; Insecta; Diptera; Culicidae
Exons: 3
Source: RefSeq, a predicted model, not a curated record
GUUUGUCAGUAGUCCAAAGGUAAACGUCGUGACAGAUCGUGCCAAAGCGGCUGCUGGUAAUCCACUCUCCAGUUUGUCGAUGUUUCUGUGAUUCCCAUUAACCGAUGGGAGCUUCCCACAAAUUUCUGUGAUAGGGGAAGAAAGUUCAUAUGAUUGUAGAAGGUUUACAUUCCCACUUCCCCAGUGCGUUGCCAACAAGAAACAGUGCAAAAUGUUAGUUAAGUGCCAAGGAGUCGAGAUAUUGCUUUAAACAAAAAACAGCCGCAAUCAUUUAAGUUGUGCCGACUUGCAUUUAUAAGACAUUGUAAUCUUGUAAAAGGACAAUACUCGAAUAUUAUAGUUCCCCAACGGCCAGAAAAUGCCAUGUGUAUACAUAUCAUAAAGCUACAAGUAGUAAAUGCCAAAAAAUAAAGUUUAUUUCAUUUAGUAUUACACAAUAAAUGAACCACAAACUACAAUUUCAAAACAUCUAACGAAGGAAAACAUGUAAAAUUACUGUUUUCGAAUUGCACCACACCAGUCCAACAAACAGGUUGGUUAGCGAAGCCAUAGGAAUCACAAAAGUGAAAGCAAUUGGCUACAGGAUUUGAAUGAAAUCGAAAUAAUAUUGACAAACUGAUAUUGGGCGACCGCAAUCAAUCACGAAACGGUUCUGGCUAAGAGCCUCUUUCUGUGAAGUACAGUAUGGACAAUUUCGGGUUCCAAGACAAUCGCAGCUCUCCUCCAACUCUACCCCGGAUUCCUAGAAUACUGAGGACGACAAGCUGCAUAGAGAACGGUUCCACGAAGUUACCUCGAUUCGACAAAAGGUGCGUGACAGUUUAUUCAAACGUUAGGAAUUAACCUCUUAUUGUAUGACUAUAGUCAAGGACCAACGUAUACAGUGGAUGAAUACCCCACAAUGUUAUGAAAUAAUCCUUGUCAGCAAACAAAUCACAUUUGUGGACGGGUAUUUGUUUCGAAAUGACAAUAGAACGUUUCGAAAACAUAGAACAAAAUAACAUUACAAAGCGGUACUAAUAGCGGAAAUAAAUAAAUGUCCAUAAAUUUGAAGCUUUC